UGGGGAAUAUUGCACAAUGGGCGAAAGCCUGAUGCAGCGACGCCGCGUGAGGGAUGACGGCCUUCGGGUUGUAAACCUCUUUCAGCAGGGAAGAAGCGAAAGUGACGGUACCUGCAGAAGAAGCGCCGGCUAACUACGUGCCAGCAGCCGCGGUAAUACGUAGGGCGCAAGCGUUGUCCGGAAUUAUUGGGCGUAAAGAGCUCGUAGGCGGUUAGCUCGCGUCUGCUGAAUGAAACUCGAGGCUCAACCUCGGGCUUGCAGUGGGUACGGGCUGACUAGAGUGCGGUAGGGGUGACUGGAAUUCCUGGUGUAGCGGUGGAAUGCGCAGAUAUCAGGAGGAACACCGAUGGCGAAGGCAGGUCACUGGGCCGCAACUGACGCUGAGGAGCGAAAGCAUGGGGAGCGAACAGGAUUAGAUACCCUGGUAGUCCAUGCCGUAAACGUUGGGCACUAGGUGUGGGUCCAUUCCACGGAUUCCGUGCCGCAGCAAACGCAUUAAGUGCCCCGCCUGGGGAGUACGGCCGCAAGGCUAAAACUCAAAUGAAUUGACGGGGUCAUAGCUGUUUCCU
RNAcentral lists this ribosomal RNA (569 nucleotides) under uncultured bacterium. Its description in RNAcentral is "partial 16S ribosomal RNA". It matches the Rfam family "Bacterial small subunit ribosomal RNA", at positions 355 to 1375 of the family's 1533-position model. The record is from RNAcentral.